Molecule: long non-coding RNA, 432 nt
Organism: Xyrauchen texanus (razorback sucker)
Lineage: Eukaryota; Metazoa; Chordata; Actinopteri; Cypriniformes; Catostomidae
Exons: 3
Source: RefSeq, a predicted model, not a curated record
GAAAGUUACUGGUAUGAUAAUUGUGGUUAUAUUAUAUUACUAUUAUAUUUAGUGUAUUGCUAAUCAAUAUAUUGUUACUUCCCAGGUGACAGCGGCUCACUUCAAGAGCAGGUGAAGCAAGUUGGGACAAUGUUGAAGACAUUUGCUCGCACUGGGCAAUCAGGUGCAGAUCAAACCCUAAUGCUGCGACGUCUUGGGAGUUUGGCGAUGUUGUGUGUAGCAUGGACAACAAAAUGCUAUGCUGCAACGUUUCAGUGCCAAUGUGUCUGUUGGAGAGUUAUCCCUGACAGGGGAUCUGUUACUCCCCCCUAGACACCCAGGAACAUUUGGCGUUGCUUGACAACAGUUUGAGGCAGGAUAAAGAGCUCCAGCAACGAUUUCUUCGGUUUUUGGCAAUCAAAUGUGGGAGGGACCUAAAGACAACCGUGUGGC